RNAcentral lists this long non-coding RNA (34913 nucleotides) under Gossypium raimondii (Peruvian cotton). RNAcentral's name for it is "long non-coding RNA (GRAI_LNC009342)". The record is from RNAcentral. Lineage: Eukaryota; Viridiplantae; Streptophyta; Magnoliopsida; Malvales; Malvaceae.
UUGAUGGGAACCUUAGGAUGAUUUGUGCUUUAAUUUUCUAUUCCCAGAAGGUGCCCUGGGUGGUGUCCAUUGUGUGGUUUCUGCUCAUGGGGAGGCUUCUCUCCCUUACCUUUGGGUGGUAUUACAUAUUUGUGUGGCUCACUUAAGAGGUGUCUAUGAGGAGGUUUAGGUUCAUGAGGUGCUCCCUUUCCUUUACCCUUGGAUGGUUUGUCACCGGGGAAUGGUUUCAUGGAUGGCUUACCGUCAGGGAAUCCUUCAACAUGUGGAGGUUUACCCCCUGAGUGUCGUGGAGGUUUAUAUGUGUCCUCAACUUCCACAUUCAAUAGGUGUCUAUGAGGAGGUUUGGGUUCAUGAGGUGCUCCCUUUCCCUUACCCUUGGAUGGUUUUUCACCGGGGAAUGGCUUCAUGGGUGCUUUAUCGGUAGGGAACCCCUCAACAUGUGGAGGUUUACCCCCCGAGUGUCUUGGAGGUUUACCACCUGAAUGUCGUGGAGGUUUAUGUGUGCCCUCAACUUCCACACUCAAUAAGUUUCUAUGAGGAGGUUUUUCCCCAUGUGGUGGCUCCUCUCCUUUACCGCCAGGUCCACUGUGUAUUGGCGGUCGGUGUUCAGGGAAUGGCUUGUGUUCUGGUUGCUUCUCACCUGGGAAAGGCUUCCCCUUGGGAAGCUCAUUAUCAUGAUGUUGGUUAGCUAGAGAAGGAGUGAUGAUAAAAACCACCACUCCAACGAGAAACAAAAGCAAGCAGGCUUUAGACAUGUUUGGGAAUAUAUCUCUCGGUUUUGUUGUGCUUCACAAACUAUAACAUUUGCUGCCCUUUUAUAGUGGACGGAAAGCUAGACUUAUGACGUCACCACACAUGCAAUUUUGCAUUUGUGCGGUGUUGAGUCGCUCUUUGGGUCCCAUGUGGCGUCGAAAUUUUUGACAAAUUUGCUACUGUGAAAAUCAUGACACCUUAAAGUUUAACUACUGUGAAAAACACGUUGCAAGAAUUUUUCGACAUACAUGGUUCUGCGGAUUUUCAAUGUGAAAUAUUGAAUCUACAUUGCUUUUUGACAUUCUAAGGGGAUCACAUGCUAUAUAGUCAGUUUGUGAGAAGCUAAAUACCUUUAACAGGGAUGAGUCCAGAAAUAAUUUUAAGAGGUGAGAAUUAAAUUAUAAAAUUUAUGAGGAGUUAAAAGUCAUGGCAUAUAAAAAAAACCCAAAGGGGUUAAAAUUUUUUCCACAUUUUUUAAAUUGCGAUUGGUUAAAGCUGUCGAGAGAUGUCGUUGACAAAUUGGUAUGAACAUAUGAAACUGUGGGAAAGUUCAGAGGCGAUUCUAGAGGUCGCAUGGGAACCGACCCUUAAAUGCAAAAUUAUUAUUUAGAUCCUUUUAAUUUUUUAAAAUUUUAAAUUAAUAAAGAUAAAAUUAUAUUUUGGCCCCCUAAAAAUUAUAAAGAUAUAAAUUAUAAAAAAUUAAAAUUUUAUUCGACCUCCCUAAAAAAUUGUUCAAGGAAAAGUUGCAGAAAUUUGUCAUAAAAUAAGUACAGAUUUGAGUCACGAAACAUUAUCAAUAUAGGACAAAAUGGUAUGAACAUUUGAAACUGUGGAAAAGUUGCAGAAAUUUGUCAUAAAAUAAGUACAGAUUUGAGUCACGAAACAUUAUCAAUAUGUAAUUAUAGAUUAUGUUAAAAGAAUUCCCACUAAGUUUAUCUAUAAAAACAAAAUCCAUAGUACUGUAGAUAUGAUAAGCUUCUGAAAAUGAUAGGUGUUCCUUUUCAUCCACUCGAUGGGGUUAUGGGAAAAGGGGAAGAGUACGAAAGAAAGAAAAAUAACAGUCGGAUUUAACACGUGAAAGAUAUUAUAGUAUAUGUUUUUCAGAUAAAUCGAUUCAUUGGUUGGACCAGAUUGAAUAAUUUUUAUUAGUGUCGACCCCAAAUAUGAAUAUAUUAUUUUGAUGAAAUUAGUGGAUCCAUAACGCAAACUUUGAAUUUGGAGUAUUCAUUGUCUAGGCCCACCGGUACUGAGAACACUAUUAAAAUUUGAACUCUCUAACCCAUAACAAGUUUAUUAUGUUUAUUUAUAUAAUACCAGUUGCGGUUUAUUGGACUGCAUUCAAGGGGUUUAAUUCCAGCAAAUUAUUUCAGCUUUCAAAAGCUACUAUUAUAUAUGCGUUUUUUAUUUUAUUUUUAGGCUUAGUUUAUUUCCCUGAACAUAAUUUACGAAAAAUAUUUUUUGAAUUUUUUAUAUUUAUUUUAUAAAAAAUAAUUUGGUCAACGGAAAAUAACUUAAAAGUCAAUAGAAAAUAAAUUCUUUUCCUGUAAAAUAAUUUAUCCUUCUAAAAAGCGCAAGUCAUUUUUUGAAAAAAGCUCAUUUAUGAGUAAUUUUAUUUUUUAUAAAAAUUAACUUAAAUCAAACUUAACAUUACUAUAUUAAUAAUAAAAUUUAUUUUUAUUUUUAAAAAAUAUUAUAAUAUUAAUAUAAAAUAUUAUAAUUUUCAAUAUGAUUAAACAUACAUAUUUAAUCAUAUAAUAAAUUAUUAAUAUAAUUAAUAUAAUUUAUUAUUUUAAUAAAUAAUUUAAUAUUUUUAUUUUAUUUUAAUAAUAAAUUUUGAAAAUAAUAAAUUUAAAUAAUAUUCUUCACAUAUUAUUGAAAAUAUUCAAUAUUAAAUAUUUUAAUAAUAAAUGUUUUGUACUAUAGAAGUUAAAAUAUGUCAUAAGUCCAUGUAUUCUUCACAAGUUUGAAAUUUAGUCUCUAUACUUUUGUAACACCUCUCACUCGGUCAGGUUGCCGAACCCAGUAACAGGAUGCCACAAUAACUUUUGGAACUUAUACGCAUGCAUACACGAUUUCAAUUAAGAGCAAUUGAAAAUAAUUUAUUAUAUCUUAGGAAAACUUAUUAAACCAAAUCAAAGUGAUUAACUCUGAGACCUCCAAUUCGCUGAGUCUGUGUCCUAACCACAUGGAUUACCUGUUAAGGGAUAAACUAAGAGGGUGAGCUACAAAACACAGUGUGAGUUUUAACUAAAAGUAAACGACGCAACAACAAACAGUCGAUCAAACUUACAAUUACCAUAAUCAAACCAUAAACAGAGAUCAUAUCAGAUUAGCGUAUCAUAUUAUUAUAUCACUAAACAGAUAUGCAAAAUCGUAUUCAUAUGUAAUAUGGUGCAAAAUCCCUCCUAUCCAACCGCUACACGCCAACUCCAUCAUCCAUCUCACACCAAUAAGGGUAUGCUAGACCCUUUCCAACCUCUGCACACCAAUAUUGGGUUAUGGUGGACCCAUCCAACCAAAUCACACCUUGAGGUGGUCGUAAGCCACUUAAAUGUGAUGCAGUCAAGUUGCUAACACUAUUGCAGUUUUAUCGCCAAAUUAUAACAAUACAGUUUAACUACCAAAUCGAACUUCCUUCUCUUUAAUAUCAACCCCAACCAUAAUGCAUAUGCAAAAAUCUCUCAAUUCAUAUACAUAUAUAUAUAUCAAAUCAGACAUUCUCAUAUCCAAUUACAAAAUAGAAAAAUAAACAAUGUGCACAAUUUUCGAUUAUCACAUCCAUACAUUUUCAUAUAUUAGGUUUUGUAUACAACAUCAUAUCAACAACCUAUGCGAGUAACCAUUUUAAAGUUGUGAAUGCAUAUGUAUGAAAAUGUUCUAACAAUAAUACGCCUUUCAUAUACCUACUAUAACCAAUAACAGUGUCUCAAUCACUCCUACAGAGGCUUAAAUACACAAUAGAUCACUCAGGGACUAAAAUGAAUUAAUUUGCAAAAAGUAGUGACAAAAUUGCAGAAACAGGACCACACGGUCGUGUGGGAAGGUUCAGACGUGUGGUAGGGGUACACGGCCGUAUGACUGAGAUACAUAGCAAUGUAAGUAGGUCGUGUAACUCACUAAACCCAUGUGACAAUUUUCAAAACUAAGGAGCAGGGGAGACACGGCCGUAUGGGAACUCCCUAAGCCGUGUGACAAGAAACUUAACCUAUUUUCAUAAGCGACGCAUGAUCGUAUGGACCGUCCAUGUGCAGCACACGCUCGUGUGGUUACAAAAACCACCCCAAAUCUUACUGCAAAUCUCGAACAUUAACCAUAAAAUCACCCCUAUUUACGAAUGUUCAAGAAAGACACCUGAAAUCGCAAUUCCCAGCACCAAAGAUUGAUAGAUUCGCCUCUACUCUACCAAUCUGAAAACUCAAUAUCACACACAUACAAAACCUAUAAGGAUUUCGACCUUACAAUUAAAAAAGAAUGAAGAAACUGGUCUACAACUCAAAAGAUAGCACUUACCCGAUUAAAACUUUGACAAAUCAAAAUGUGGAAGAACGGGAGAGACUCUAACGAAUCAAGAGUAAUCAGGGCUUAAGCGCAAAGACAAAAUGGCACAAAAACUACUAAAAUUUUAGGGUAUUAAUGGGAAAGAAAAAAAACAAAAUUGAAAAGUAAAAGAAUGACAUAAAAGAAAAUUCAAUAACAAAGAAGAAAACAAAACUACCAGCCAAAGAGUGAGAGAGAGGGGAACGUUACUAGGAGGAGUUUUAGGGAUUCCUGUUUUCAAAAAUUAAAAUAAAAUAAAAAAGAUAAAAAUAAAUAAAAUCCUAACCUAUCAAGUUUAUUAGAGUUAAAAACCAAAAAUAACUUCCUCUAAGCACACGCAAGGAUUUGAACAUGAGAUCUAAGGGUAAGCUAACCUUACUAGUGAACCAACAAACUCAUUCUAUCACUAGAACACGAAAACAAACUUAAAAGUUCAACUACCCCUACAAACUCAUCCUACAAACCUUGAUGCUUCUAACCCCAAUUUCGGGACGUGAUAGUAAGUAUUGAUACUAAAUAGCAAGUAUCGAUAUUUAGUAAAUUAGGUAUCGAUACUAAUGUAAAAAUUGUAUCUUGCCAAUUUUGGUUUAAAACAUUUUAUCGAUACCUUGGCAAGAGUAUCAGUAUCUUUAUAACAAGUAUCGAUACUCGUGAGUAGGUAUCAAUACCAAAUUAGGUUUCUGUCAAUUUUUUAAAAUGUCUCAUUUUCAUGGUAUCAAUAUUCAUGCCCCGAUUAUCAGUACUUUUACUUAGAAUGCAAGAAAAAAAAAACACACACACACACAGAAUAAAGUGCUCUUCAUGCUUAAAACAAUGUUCUUACUCCACACACAAUUAUGAUCUAAUUUAACUGAACUUAUUAAUAUCUUUUAAACAUUUAUCAUGCCACAUCCGUACAUUUGCAUCAAAAUUACCUAACAUGCAUUAUCAGCCUUAAUCUCAAACAUCAAAUUGUUCAUAAAUGAAGUCCAAAACAACAUCAACAUCCCAUAAGUGAAAUCUUAAAUUUGUGAUAAAUAAAAUGAUGAUAAUAACUAGAACUAUAACUCUAACCCACAACACAUUUAUUCAAAGUGUUCAAAAAAUAUAAAACCACCUACUUGAAAGUUUAUUGCCUUGCUAAGAUCACUUCAUUGGCCACUCCACUCACACUGAAAGUGCUGCUUAUCUGCAAAAUUGUUCUGUGGAAGUGUGAGCUUAAACAAGCUCAGUGAAUAAUUGAAAUUACCACAAGGCAUACAUAACAUCAUACAUAAAGCAAAAGCAACUAAGCACCAUCACAACCAUAUUUACAACAACGCCAAACUAACAUAUUCAUGAUUCGUUAUGUUAUACGUCUAUCUUAUGUACUCACAUGCGCAUACAUAGAACAUAUUUCAUAUAUAAAUCAUUUAAUGAUAAUUUGGCAACUUGAGAUUAUGAAACAUAAAAGUGAACUCUAUCGCCACACAUCGGAUAGACCACACCAAUGACUCAAAGAGUCUAACAUAUCCCAUAAGUGUAACAUAAAGCUAAACACUCUCCAACGCACCACAAAGAUGAGUACUCACUAGGGGUGUUCAAACGGUUAACCGAACCAAAUUAGUAUUAACCAAAUUAAUCAAAUUAACCAACCUUUUUAAUCUUUUAACCAUUAACAGAAUUGAAUUUUUUUCAAAAAACUUAAUCGAACCGACAUAUUUCAGUUAAUUCGGUCAAUCAACCGAAUUAAUCUAAAUUUAUAUGUUGUUUUUUUAAAAAAAAACAAGUAUAAAACAUAUCAAAAUUUUUUUUGAUAAUGUUCAUUUGACCGAAUUAUUUGAAUUAACUGAAUUAGUAAUAGCCUAAUACAUAUAAUAUAUAAUAUAUAAUAUUAUUUAUUAGCUUCGAUUAAUUCAGUUAAUUACUCAAUUUCAAACCUAAUUAACUGUUAACCGAAAUUUUAAAAAACUUUUAACCCACCUUUGACCAAACUAGAUUGGUUAACCGACCGAUUAACCAAAUUAGAUCGAUUCGGUCAAUUAAUUCAGUUUUACCCGAAAUUUGAACACCCCUAGUACUCACAUCCUAUGGCAGCCCAACUAUAUCCAAUGGUUUCAAGAGAUCAUAAGGCCAAAAUAUCCACAAUUACACAUAUUUAAUUAUUGUUUUAAUGCACAUAUCCUCUGUUCAUACACAUCAAUUCAUAUCACAACCUCAUACAAAAGCAUACUUAUCGGUUUCAAUUUAAUUGCACUAUAAGUGUCGCAAAAAUGCUCAUUGAGCCAUUAUAUAUUAGGUCACAUACGUGUGCAUUAAAAUCAUUUUAUCACAUACAAGUAUUCACACAUAUUACCUGUCAUAUCAGCCUCACCUUUCACAACUCAAUAUACAUUAGGCAUAAUUUCAUAACAAGAAAAAAGUAUAAAGAAGGCUUACACUCGGAACUUAGGUUAGGAGUUUCAACUAUGCCUAAGCUCCUGCUUAAUGCUACGAAUUGUGCAUACCAGCAACAACUUCGAGCACUCACUGUUCGCUCUUUCGCUUAUUAGCUGAAAGCUCGAACUAGCUUUUCAUUGCCUUUUGCCUUGCUCGUAAAGGGCUCCAACGGUUCCAAAUCUUCACAAACAUUAAUUACAAAAUAUGUAAAAAUGAUUAACAACCAUAACCACAACAUAAUCAAACAAAAACACAGAUUCUACCAAGCUCCUUUUUAAACCGAAAAUUUCAACUAGUUUAUUCGAAACUCAGAUUCCUUAAUCUAGACCUAUUCCUAUUGCUUAAAAUUAAUUCUAAAAACCUAAUUAUACAUUUAAGAACAUGUCUCAACCUUUAAAAUGCCCAAAAUUUCAAAUUUAAGUUUUUAAAAAAAGUUCGACGUUCAUGACUACUUUGAAAGAAAAAUCAUUAAAUCCUUCAAAUCUUUUAACGAUUGAUUAAAGCAAGUUUUAAAACCUUCUAAUCUCAUCGAAACAAGUCAAAAAAACACCUAGAAACAAUACUUUCGCUUAAAAAUCUAAAUUCUACCAUUAACGACCCAAAUUUCAGCUAACACAUGAAAUACUUGUUUCAAUGGAUUAAGACUUGAUUUGAAAGGCUAGCUACAUCAAAAUCUAAUAGAAAAACAAAACCUUACCUCAAUUGAGAAGAACAACAAAUGGUUGGUUGAAAUUCGAGAAAACCCACUAGGAAAAGAAUGAUGAAAUUAAUGGUGUUCUUGAUGUUUUUUUUUUCUCGAAUUUGAAAGAAAUUUGGUGUUUGGAAGAGGGUGAAAAUCACAAUGGUUCAGUUACUAGAGAUCAAAAUAUUUGAAUGAUGUUUAGGAAUUUACAACUAACGACAAAAGAAAAGGGAAGGGAGAAAUGUGUGUCAACUGUAAGGUGAAGGGGGAAAAUAGGUUGAUUUUUAAAACAUUGGUAUAAUUGCUUUUGAGCUACUCUCAAAUUUAACCCCUUUGCAAAACAGUCCUCUUUUUAAAUUGAAGGCAUUUUUCUCAUUUCUUUCAUAAAUUGGUUUUAUUUAACAAAAAAUACUUUCCAGUUACUAAAUUUUGAAUUCCCAAACUUAAUUUUGGGAUGUGACAACUUUUAUUUUCAAGAAUUUAGCCCCUCUACUUUUUAGAUUUAAAAAUCAAGUCCAAUUGUUAACAUUGUUAAAUUUUUUUGUCAAUUUUAUUGAUGUCACAUUUUUAAACAAAAAAUACUCACUUGGUAGUCAUGUAACUAAACAAAGACGUUGUAAUGAACCUGAAUUUAGAAAAAUAUGUUCAAUAUAUACAAAAACUAUAUAAAAUAUAAAAUUAUAGAUAUAAAAUAAACUUAAUUAAAUAAUGUAAAGAUAAGAAAAUCUCAAAUGUACGUUUGUUUCAUUGAAAACAACUAUUGUAAAAUAUUUUCAAGAAAUCUGCCACACAACCGAAAAUAUUUUAUACAAAUUCAUUCAAAUACCAAAAAAUAUAUAUUUUUCCAAAAAACUAAGUCAUUUUCUAGAAAUCAUUUUCCAAAAGUUAUUUUCAGUAAAACAAACGGAGCCUUAGUUUAUAGUGUUUCACAUUAUUUUUUUCCUGUCAAGCUUCACAUAAUGUAAUUCAUAAGAUAGAAUUCCUUUGUUUCAUUUCUUUUGAAACUAUGAUAUUUGAGUUUAAGUGUUAAUUACAUUAGAAUAAAUAUUAAAUAUAUUAUAUUAUGAUUAUUAUAUAAAAUAAUAUUAAAUAUGAUCAAGUUUGGGUUUGAAAAUUUCUAUCCAAAGCCCAAGGCCCAACGUAUUUUUUUAAUGGGUUUUUUUGCCCACACUUUGAGUCUCUUUCUUUUUCCAUAACUUACAAAAUUUUGCCCAAGUCUUCAAGCUUGUGUCAGUAGUUCAACCCUUAAAGGUCUAUUUCAAAGAAAUAAAAAAUUAUUUAUCAUCAGCUUAGAAACUAACACAAUUUGUAAUAGAAAAUAAAAUAUGGUUAACAACACUAAAACUCUACCACCAAGUCACGAACACAUUUCAUCUCUGCACGCCAACUUUGUCAUAAUCUCCACCUUAUAAAAUACAAUAAAGAAACACAUAUCAUGAACUUCAUACCUAUAUAGUUCUAGCUUUUUAAAUAGAUGUCACAACUUUCAUGAUCAAACCUGUAAAAGAUUAAUGUACCGAAAAACAAUAAUUUUCCUUUAAUAAUAAAUUCACAAACAAUUUCAGAAUCUAUAGUCUAUAGUACAUUCUUUUCCCUUUUCCGAUCAAACAAUUAUUAAAGUCUCUAAUAUUUCAUCACAUGGUUUUCUCCUUAACAAUCUUACACAAUGUAUAUACAUUGACUAUUACCAUUGUCAUUAAAUAAAGUUUUUAAACUUUACUAUUUUUUCUAAAAAACGAGUAAAAUAAAUAAAAUUAUCUAAAAAUAGACAUCAGAAUUUGAACUUACAAAACACAAUCACCAUAAGUCACUAAACUCUAAUGAAAAGGAAAAUGCAACAAAAUGUUCACUAAAACAAACCAGCAUAAUAUUGCCAUGGUAAAAUCAUACUAUAGCCCCUAAAGUGACGUUGCUCCUACUUUCACUACACCAAAACAGGUUUUUAACAGCGUUUUUUAAGCCUCCGCUAAAAGUAUUUACGGCGUUUUUGAAAGCGCCGCAAAAAAUGCCGCUGCUGUAAACGCCGCAAACAUGAAAUAAACGCCGCCAUAGAUCAUGACCUUUAGCGGCGCUUUUCCCACAAACGUCAAUAUAGAUCAAGACCUUUAGUGCCGCUUUUUCCAAAAACGCCGCUAUAGAUCAGGACCUUUAGCAGUGCUUUUCCACAAACGCCGCUAUAGUUCAAGAUCUUUAACGGCGCUUUUUCUACAAACGCCGCUAUAGAUCAAGACCUUUAACGGCGUUUUUCCAACAAACGCCACUAUAGAUCAAGACCUUUAGCGCCGCUUUUUGAUACAAACGCCGCUAUAGAACAGACCUUUAGCGGCGCUUUUCACAAAAACGCCGCUAAAAACAUAUCUUUAAAAAAAAUUUUAAAUAAUAUUUAUUUCUAUGAUAAAUAUUAUAUUAUUUUUUAAGGAUAAAUAAAAAAAUAUUUUUAAAUUAAAUUUUCUACGAAAAAUUUAUCUUUAAAACUAAAUAUAAAAAUUAAUGAAUUUAAAUUUAGAAUUUAAAAUAAUAAAUUAAUAACACAAUUAAAAUUCAAAAGUUAAAACUCUUAAGUAAAAAUAAAAAUUUAGAAUCAAAACUAAAAUAAAUAAUACAUAUGCAAGGUAAUAAAACAUACAAUGCAUUUUCUUAAUCAAGUAAAUCUUGGUAAUAAAAGAAAUAAUACAUUUAUUUAAUCAAGGAAAUCUUGUAAUGAACUCAAAGCAAUGAGCAUCAGAAUUGAGAAGAAAAAAAGAAUCACGAUACACAAACGAGAUCCAGAACUUCUGUUCCUUUGGACGCCCACACUGGGUAGUCCCCGCUUCAACGCCAUUGGAUAUCAGAGCCUAAUAACAACAAUAGCAGCAGCAAAAUCACUCAUCAAAAGGUGGAAAAAGGAUAACUACAAGUUAACAGUGAGGAGAUCGCGUGAAACAUAAAGCAGCAGAUCCGUAUCGAAGCUAGUUGGAAUGGAAAUCCAUGGGAAAGCAAGCAUAGAUUAAAACUUCAUAGAACUUUCUCUAAAAUCUUCAUAGUAAACUGCUUCAGUCUACUUUUUACUUUACUUGUACAACAAUUACAUGAAAUGCCAAAAUAAAAAAUAUGGGUCUGCGCCACAGAAUCCAUGAAAAACUUCAUAGAACUUUCUCUAAAAAUUUACUCGCCAAUGUUCUCAACCUUUUUUUCAGGAAUUUGGAGCAUGCAGAAACCAUAUAAUUUAACUAUCCCAUUUUACAGUGAAAGCUAGGAACACACAAGAAACAGAUGAAAAAGGAUAAAUCUAAUACCCGUAAAGCAUCUGUAACUUGGCAUCCUUGUAGCCCAUCUUUUUGCAGAGACCAUCUAUUCUCAGCAUUUUUCUUCUUUGAAAAACCCGUAAAAUAUGGGUUUUGGUGUUAAAUAAUGCGACUGCCAUCAAUAUCAAGGUCGAAAUCAUAUCUCAUUCUUCCAUAUUAAGAAAAGUAUGCUAAAAAAUGAGGGUUAGAAAAUAAAGUUUAAAACAUACACAAUUGAUGUAAGUAUAGGGUUAGAACUGUAUGAACAUUAAGCAAAAUAGCCAAUUUAAAUUCACUUAACAACAUUAAGAAAAAUAAGUCUGGUUGAAAGAAAUGGAGCCAGGAGAGAAGAGAAAAACCUGUUCAGCAAUGCUAGCUGCCUCAGCAAGCCUAUGAAGAAAUAUAUUAGAUAAGCCUAAAUUAACUAAGGCUCUCCAUUCAAUAAAUUUCUUGUACUAACUUAUUAAACCAGAGAAGUACAAAGAGCAUUAUGGUACUGCUUGCAUGAACAUGGAAAACAAGUUGCCAUGACAAAAUGAAAACACGAGUAUAGGUCUUAAAAAAAUAAUAAGAUAAAUAAAUAAAUAUAUUAUAGUAAACAGGAGAGUUAUAAGAAGGAACCAUGAACCUUGAGAGCCAAGAAAACAGGAGAGUUAAAACAAACCAAUUAAUAAUAUUUACCAAGUUUUAUUAACUUUAUAUAUAUAUAUAUAAUGAGAAUAAAAAGAAAAAGAAAAUAAUACCUACUCUUCUCUAUAUCUGGGAGGUCUGUCCUUGAAUCCCUUUCAAUGAUCACCUGGAAUAUAAACAAACAUAUAAUAGACAGACAAAAAAAAGUGAUCAAUAACCAUCAUUUAUGGUUGAGGCUGACACAAUGUUUGAGCCUAUAGCUGUAAUUAGCAGGUUAAUAAUUCAAAAAUAAAGUGACCAAAAAUUAUUACAUCCAAGAAAACCCUUUUCAGACCAAAAUUUGAUUAAUCAGAUACUGUAAUAACAAUUAGGAACCUUGGCCCCCUUAGUAUAGGCAAACUACAUUUCUAGCCUCUUCUAAAAAUUCUUAACUUAAUUUAAGCCCUUUAGCCCCUUAAAUAAAUGUUAAAAUUCCCUUUUUGGCUACUCCAAAAAUUUAAUAAAUAUAUUAUGGAAAAAUAAUAUGCAGCAUCCGUGAUACAUAUGCUUCUACCUCUAUAGCAAGAAGGAAUGAGAGAAACGUUAUACCUCUGCUCUCUUUUUCCUAGUGGCGACAUGCAGUGCAGUGUUACCGAACUUGUCCGGGAGCAUCACAAUAGCCGCAUCUGCCUCAAAAGGAUGGCACCGCAUCAUUCUCACUAGUCAAUAAAUCAUAUAGCAGAUGGCGAUAAGCAUUUCAUAACAUUAGUGUGACAAUAUUGAAUAUGUUGUCUUGCACUUCAAAUCUCCAUCAUAGUUCCCAAAUAAUCAUAAUUUCUUUUGUUUUGUCGUAGACAAACAAACUUGCUGCAAGGAAUGGAUUAUAUAUGACAUUAAUCAAAGGCAACCAAGUAAAAGUAAUCCAUUUUUACUUUUUGGUUCAAAAUAGUCUAUCCCCCAUUUACCAACAUCUUUCGAGCUAUCAAACAUAGCUUUAUCAUCAAAUUUAUUCAUCAGACUUUGAGACCAACUUGAACCAGUACUUUUACUAAAUACCAUAUUCACAAGAACUUGACUAACCAAUUGAAAUCAAAUAACAGCACAAGCAAAAUCACAAAACGAAAGCUAAAAAUCAUUACCAUGGUGCCCUUGGCUUGCAGCAAUAUGCAAUGGAUCAAACCUAGAUUUGUUCUUCUUAGUAACGGUCUCUUUGUUUGAGUAUUUUAACAACUCCUUGACAACAUCAAGAUGCCCUUUCUUUGCAGCAGUAAACAAGGCAGUCUCCCCCAACUCAUUCACCUCGUUUACCACACUAGCCUGUAUCUCUGAAACCUCCAUAUUGAAAUCUUCCCCACUCGCAGUCUUCAUCAUCUGAGAAUCAAUGUCCAUCUCAGGAAUCUUCAGCAUUGAUCGAUCCACGUGAACUCCACACCUUGUAAAGAAUCACCACUCAAACUCCUACAACUAUUAUCAACAGAAAUAAUCUAAGAAAUAUAUACUGAAAGCAAUAGAAAUAAAAAAGAACACCUCUUGAACAGGAGGAAGUGCGGCUCUUCUUAGUUUUUCUCUUGACAUUUUCCCUUGAAAUCCUGUUUCAUUUCUAGUUCUUCAAUGGAAAGAAAGUACUAAUUUUUCUUCUUCUUACUCAGAAAGAUCUGAUUGAAAGGGAAAAUGGGAAAUGGAAAAAGAAUUAAGUACAAACUUUUAUUUGGGAGCAUUUAGGGCGCUCGAUGGAUAUGAGAAAAAGAGGGAGUAAUGAGCGGGGUAAUCAAAAAUUAUGUUUGGGGAGUGGGCGGGAUUUUGAUUAAUUGUUGCGGCAUUUCUCUCAAAAAAGCAGCAAAAAAUUAUUUAUUUUGUACAAAACGAUGCCGUUUUGUUCUGUUGAAAAUUUCAAUAUAUUUUUAAAUCCACAUGUCAAUACAUAUGAAGUCUAUUUAUUAUAUAUCUCUUAAAUAAUUUUAACUAUACUCAUAAUUUCAAUAUAUUUAAUUUAUUAUUAUCUCUUUUAUAAUUAUAUAAGAACAUAUUUAAAAUAUAAAUUAAAAAAAUAAUUAAUCUAAACCAAAACCCUAACCCAACCCCUGAAUCUCUAAACCCUAAAUUCCUAAUUCUUAAUCCCUAACAUCUAACUCCUAAACCCUUAGCCCCAAAACCUUAAAUCCCAACCCUUAAACCAUAAUCCCUAAAUUCAUACUACCUAAACCUUAAAAUAUGAACUCCUAAACCGGCCUUAAAUCUUAAAUUAAUCAUAUACCCUAAACUAAAAACCCUAAACAAAUUUAUUAUUAUCUCUUUUACAACUAUAUAAGAACAUAUUUAAAAUAUAAAUUAAAAAAAUAAUUAAUCUAAACCCAAAACCCUAACCCGACCCAUGAAUCCCUAAACCUUAAAUCCCUAACUCUUAACCCCUACAGCACGUUUGGUUCGCUGUAUUGGAAUAGAGGCGUAAUGGAAUAGAGGUGUAAUGGAAUAGAGAUGUAAUAGCAAAUCAAUUGUUUGGUUGAAUGUAAUGGAAUAGAAGCGUAAUAGUAUUCUUGUGUUUGGUUGAAUAGAAUAGAGGUGUAAUAGCAUAAUGGAAAAAACUAAAAUGACUAGAAUACCCUUAGCAUAAAUUUGUUUUGGUAAAUGAUUAUUGUUAUUGUUAUUUAAAUUUUAAUAAGAUUAUUAAUAUCAAUAAUAAAUAAUUUAAUCAUAUUUAAACAUAAUUAUUAUUAAAUAUAUUAUAAUUAAAAUAUAUAAUUUAAUAAAAUUCUUAAUAAUCAAUAUUCUUAUAUGAAUUUACUCAAAUCAUAAUAUAUAAUACUAUAAAAUAUAAUUUAAAAUAAUUAUUAUUAAAUAUAAUUUAAUAAAAAUAUAUAAUUUAAUCUAAAGUUUGAAUGUGUAUUUACCUAGCAAAAAUUAACGAACUCUCGUGUAACUAUAACCUAAUAAUAUAUGAUGUAUAAUUAAUAUUUCGUGACUAAUUAAUAGCAUANNNNNNNNNNNNNNNNNNNNNNNNNNNNNNNNNNNNNNNNNNNNNNNNNNNNNNNNNNNNNNNNNNNNNNNNNNNNNNNNNNNNNNNNNNNNNNNNNNNNGUAUACAAUUAAAAUAUUAUAAAUAAAAUAAUAGUAAAUGAUAUAUAAGAUAAAUUAACAUAUAAAUAAUUUAACUUAUAUAAUUUAAAAUAAUUAUUAUUAAAUAUAAAUUCUUUAAAAAGAAUUUAUUCCCCUUUUUUUAUGUAUAUUUGUUCUUGGUGGCUAAAUUCUAUUCCAACUGUUCAUAUGUUUUUUCAUGCCUCAGUCAGUUCCUUUGUACAACAGCAAUACAUAGAACAGAUGCAUUUAGAAGCAAAAUUUAUACUAAAAGUAGAAUUUGGAAGCUAUAGAAUAGAUGCCAAAAGAUUUACAAUUGUAGGUUUUUCACUUCUCUUGAAUCUGAAAACACUUGCAAGCAAUCAGGAUUUUGAACUUUGCAGAAAAGCUCACCAAUCUCACAAAUAAUUUACAAAGUAAUGGAACUGGUAUAAAAAAAUACACCCACACAUCUUGUCGUCCGUAUUUGCGGUUCGGAACGGCCAACAAAUCGAGCAAAUCCUGAACCAAAAACCUUUCUCCUUCUUUGGUGGUGCUGCCUUGGUAUCCCUCUUGGCAACGAGAUCAGCCAUGAACUCAACAACAGCCUAAUGUAGAAAGAAGUUGAAUGAGUUAGUAGCUCAUAAGAAAUCAAAUAGGCAAGGUCCCAGCAAGUUAAAUUUGUGGCUAUUACUUCACAAUGUACCUAUUAAAAUUUAUUGUAACCUACUUAAGUUCCAUGUACCAAAGGAAAAGCACAAGAAUAAACUAGAAUUAAAGUUGGAUGAUAGAAUUUGCUUUUGAUAGAAAUAUUGACAACAUCAAAACACACAUUCAAAUUUAUGGAUUUUCUUAUCCCGAAAUUUGUAGUUUCAGAUUAAUAUAUCAAACCUAGCAGUACAUCUCUCAAAUCAUAUAUUAAUAUUCUCAUGAAAUAAAUUUUCAUUUGUUUUCUCAAUAAAGACAAAUCAAUUGAGACACAACCCACCAGGCUUUGGCUACCAGGAUUGCACGACAUGCCUGCCAGUUAUGUUUGUAACUUGUGCUUUAAAAUUAAGUUCAAUUAAUUGCUUAAAUCUAUAGCCCCUGAAAUAAGAAGAAUAUAAAACAUGGCAUAGCUACAUUUUCACUCUUUCCAAAUUAUACAAUCAAACAAUACAUACACACACAGACAUGUAUCAAAUUCUAACCGUAUACAACUUGACAGUUUCACAUCUCUGAAUAGUUCAUGAGUUUCAACCAAAGGAUUACAGAAGUUGCAGUAAAAGACAGUGAUUGUUUUUUUAUUGCUUCUAACUACAUUAUGGUCUCAAAGAAAAUGCAAACCUCAAAUGGAGGGGAAAACAAGUGCAAGUGACCAUAAAUAGCUAUGCAUUUCAAUGCUCAAUUAGAUAACCAACACUCAUAUUUGUGCAUAAAGUGUAGUGUGAAAUUCUUUAUAUCUUUAUUAGGACAUUCUAUGUAUAAUAAUCUAAACUUAUACAUUCUAUGUAUAAUUAUCUAAACAUAGAUAAUAAAGUUGCACUUUGUUGCUAGAAGCAGCAUGACAAGGUCUAAGGUAACAGAAAACAUGUGAAUUGAGCUAUAAAGUCAGUAUGGUGCUGAUGUAGCACAUACACGAAUAUAUAUAUCCGCUUAAUCCAACUGUCAUGUUUCAUACCUAUGUUACUCGGACUUGGGUGUGAGUGUUGGAUACAGCUAUGUAUCCGAUAUGGUUAAGCCUUUCUAAGGUUUCCCAUGUAUUCGGAGGAUCUUUAGAGGUAAUAACUCCAUAUCCACAUGUCGGACACAAGUGCUGGACAUGGGUACUUCAAGAAAAAUUAUUCAAGCAGAUCAUGCCCAUCAAAUUUCCAAGUAAUUAAAAACUUCUUAACAUCAUUUGAUAUAAAUAAUUUCAAACCAUCAAAUAUAUAUAUAAAAAGACAAUAUUCAAGAUAAGGGCGAUUAAAUAUAAAAAUAAGGGCAAUGAAAUGGAGAUGUAAAUACAAUACAAAAAAGGUAAAAGAAGCUAAACCUUUCAUCUGCUUCAUUUUCUACUUCCUCAUUUGGCUCAGGUUCCUAGCAGCCAAGCCAUAGAAGAGUCAUAAUUUUUAACUGUAACUCAAAGCAUAAUUUUUAAAGCUGCAUCAAGCAAACAAGUUAUAAAGCUUAAGAACUAACAUAGAUAAUACAAGUAUAUAUAUGUAUAUGGAAUCUGAAAAUUUACCUGCAACAUCUUGAUUAUCAUAAGUGGCACGAUAAACAGUCCCAUAGGUGCCAGGAGCUAUAACAUUCAUUAAAUCCAACUUAGCCAAAUCAAUCUCCCAUUCCUCAGCUGGCCUUUGUUUCUCAAUGUUCCUAGACCAAACUCGGCUCAGGUGCUUCUCUAGUUGCAUGUCUAAGCUUUUUAAAUCAAUUUGAUCAGCUCUAAAGAUCAUGUCUUUGCCACUAAUGCUUCCAUUGCCCUUCAUCUUUGAAUUUCCACCUCCUUCUAGUCCAUCUUGUUUCUUUGGUGCCUUGAUACCAUUAUCUUCCUCACCAAUUUUAAAAUCCAUAGUUAAAAGAAUAUAACAAAAUCACCAAAUAAAAAAACACAAUUAAAGACCCUUAAACUACAAAACUGAUAAUAACAAUGGAAUUUAAACUCAAAUUAAAAAAUAAGUUGUAAGAUUCCCCAAUUCAGGACAAGAGGAUUAAAUAUCAAUCAAAUAUACAUAUGAUCGGAUAAAAAAAACCCAGUUUCACCAACCCCAAAUCCUAUUAGAACCCUGCAUUCAAAAUUGAACUUAUAACCCAAGAAAGAGAAACAGGCAUGCAAAGUAGAGUAAGCAAAUUAGAAAAACAAAAUAGUUUUUUUUUAUUAAUUAAAAAAACCAUUUAAAAGAAGUUUUUGAAAGAGAAAUUCAGGACGAAAAGGCAAACAGAUAAACAAGAAUUCCAAAUCCAUGAUCCUGAUUCCAACUAUACCCCAAGAUCUUAUAUUUCUAAGUUAUAAUAAAAAGACCCCCAAAUUUCUAAUUAAUGGACAUGACAAGGGAGGACAAAUAGGGUAUUUAUUCCUUGUUUUAACUCAUGCAAAAGGUGCUUUAUUUUGUUUUGGCUCAGCUCCUGGCAGAGAAGAGAAAAGCAAAACAAAAUCAAAAUCAAAAUUGAUUUCACAGAAAAGAAAAGAAAAACAGGGAAAAAAUUUAGAAGAAGAAGCAGAAAUCUGGAGAAAAGAAAAUGGAGAAAAGAAAAGAAAUGUGAGAAGAAAAGAAGUGUACCGUACCAGAAGAAGAAGUAGAAAUCUAGAAAAGAAAAAAUUGGGAAACGUUGGGAGAGGAUGAGGGCAGAAAAUGGAAAAUAAAAUUGGGAAUUGAUGGGGAUUCCUUAUUACCCGCUUCAAACUCAGAAUGGCUAUUACGGCCAGUAUCAGUAAUAGAGAGGGAAGGGAAUAGGGGUGUAAUACGAUUACACCCAACCAAACGUCUGUUUGGUGGUGGGCCCAGGGAAUAGGGGGAAUGCAUCCCUAUUCCCCCAACCAAACAUGCUGCUAAUGUCUAACCCUUAAACCCCUAACCCCUAAACCUUAAAUUACAACCUUUAAACUAUAAUCCCUAAUCCAUAAUCACUAAACCCCAUACUCCCUAAACCUUAAAAUAGUAACUCCUAAACCGACCUUAAAUUUUAAAUAAAUCAUAUACCCUAAACCAAAAACCCUAAAUUAUAGUGAUAACUAAUUCAAUAUUUUAAAAUUAAUACUAUCUCUUUUACGAUUAUAUAAAAAAAAUUUUAAUAUAUAAACUAAAAAAUAAUCAGUAAUCAAGUACCCAAAAAACUUUAAAAUUAUUUUAAAUAAUAGUAUUUUAAUUUUUCCAUGUGUUUUAUUUCAAAUUAUUUCUACGUGUCAUUAUUUUUUUCUGAAGAUUUUAAAUAUUCAAUUAGAAAUAAAUUGAAUUUUAUUUAAUAUAAAUAAACCAAUUAAGAUAAAAAAUUUUAAUAUAUAAAUUAAAACUAUAAUCAUAAUUAAUUAAAUAUAUUAAACCGACCUUAAAUCUUAAAUUAACCAUAUACCCUGAGCCAAAUAUAUUAAACCCUAAACUAUAAUGAUAAUUAAUUAAAUAUUUUAAAAUUAAUACUAUCAUAUCUUUUACAAUUACAUAUGAAAUUAUUUAAUAUAUAAAUUAAAAAUCAAUCAGUCAUGUACCCAAAAAAUUUUAAAAUUAUUUUAAUUAAUAGUAUUUUAAUUUUUCCACUUUUAACAAAUAUUUUUCUCUGUUUUUUAUUUCAAAUUAUUUCUACGUGUCAUUAUUUCAAAUUUAUCCAUUUUUAACAAAUAUUCAAUUAAAAAUAAAUUGAAUUUUAAUUAAUAUAAAUAAACAAAUUAAAUAGUAAAUAGACAGAAAAAAAUGUUUUUGUGGCUCUUUUUCAAAAAACGCCGCUAAAGCCCUGAAAGGUCAAAAAACAAUGUCGUUGGGCUUAGGUUUUUUGCGGCGCUUUUUCAAAAAAGCCACUAAAGCUCUGAGCAUUAGCGGCGCUAUUUUAAAAACGCCGCUAAAGCCCUGAAAGGUCAAAAAACGAUGUCGUUAGGCUUAGGUUUUUUGCGGCGCUUUUCCAAAAAACGCCGCUAAAGCUCUGAGCAUUAGCGGCGCUUUUUUAAAAACGCUGCUAAAGCCCUGAAAGGUCAAAAAAAUGAUGUCGUUGGGCUUAGGUUUUUUGCGGCGCUUUUCUAAAAAACGCCGCUAAAGCCUUAAAAGGUCAAAAACGAUGUCGUUGGGCUUAGGUUUUUUGCAACGCUUUUCCAAAAAGCACCGCUAAAGCUCUGAACAUUAGCGGCGCUUUUUCAAAAAUGCCGCUAAAGCACUGAAAGGUCAAAAAACGAUGACGUUGGGCUUAGGUUUUUUGCGGCGCUUUUCCGAAAAACGCCACUAAAGCUCUGAGCAUUAGCGGAACUUUUUCAAAAACGCUGCUAAAGCAUUGAAAGGUCAAAAAACGAUGUUGUUGAGCUUAGGUUUUUUGUGGCGCUUUUUUAAAAAACGCCGCAAAAGCCUUGAAAGGUCAAAAACGAUGUCGUUGGGCUUAGGUUUUUUGCGGCGCUUUUUCAAAAAUGCCGCUAAAGCCUUGAAAGGUCAAAAAACGAUGUCUUUGGGCUUAGGUUUUUUGCGGCGCUUUUUCUUUAGUGACGUUUUCCAAAAAGCGUCGCUAAUGCUCGAUCUUUAGCGGCGUUUUUUGAAAAGCGCCACUAAUGCUUGAUUUUCAGCGGCGUUUUUAUCCAAACGCCACUAAAAAUGCCGCUAAAAGCCUAUUUUGGUGUAGUGUUUGACAAGUGAAUCAACUUAUUUGUCCUAGGAUAUAGUGGUGCAAUUGAAAAUCUAUUUAUCAUUACUAAUCGCUACAAAUUUAAUAUCUUCAUUAACAGAUCACAGUCGUUUAAUGACUGAGAUGGGUAACAAAACCAUUGAAUCAGACUAGCACGGUAAUUCUAUUGAUGCGAGAGUUCCUCCAAAUAGAAUUGGCAAAGACAAGAAUAGCCUCUUUUAUCGCUGACAAUUUAGUUGAAAUAGGAUUAACAAUACUAAUAAAUUUAGAAAAAAAAACAUUUUUCAAAGCAUAAUAAACAUUAUAUAUAUAUAUGACCCUCUUAUAGGUUGUGAAUUUUGAACUAAUGAACAUUAAUUAAAAUUAAAAAAAAAUUUAAUGGAAAGAUCUUAAUCCACUUUUAUUCUAUAUUGAUUUAAAUUCAAUGUUUAGCUUCUAUUUUUUUGUUUAGUUUUUGAAAUCAUCUUAAAUUAAAUGUUUAAGGGUAAAAAAAAGUCUACAGAAAAAAAUUAAAAAAAAUUAAUUCAGCUCUUAAAAAAAUUGCACCCUUUUGAGUUCUUAAUUAUAAAAAAAAAGAGUUAACUAAACCAUUCUGUUAACAGAAAUCAUUAGUUAACCAGUUUGAUCAUUAAAGGCGCUAACGUGAUUGACGGUAGACAUCAACAAAAACUAAAUUUAAAUUUUAAAAAAAUUAUAUUUUUUUUAAAAAUAAUUAAUAAAAAUUACAUCUGGAAUGAACUUGGACAUAUUGUUGUAUUGGUUUGUUUGAAUCUAGACAACAGUUUGUCUAGAUUCGUUGUAGAUGAGUUAAAAAAUAUAAAAAAUAUAGAAAUUAUAAAAAAAUAUUAAUAAAUAUUUAAAAAUUCUAAAAAACUAAAAAUUGAAAAGAUCCAAAUUUUAAUAUUUUUAAUUUUUAUUAAUAAUUUAUAUAUAUUAAAAUUUUAAAAAGUUCAAAUUGAAAAAUUGAAUUACUAUUUUUAUAUUCGAAUUUUGUAUAUAUAACUUAUUAUUAAAAUUUUAUCAAUAAAAAUUAUAUACAAAAUUGGAAUCUAAUCUUCCCAACGUGAAUUAAAAAAAUAUUAUUAAAAAAUUAUAGAAAAAUUUCAUAUUGUUUGUGCCGGGAAUGAGGUGAGCAUUCUUUCUCAAUUUUAAGUCCUAUCUUUCUUUCACUACACCAAAACAGGCUUUUAGCGGCGCAUUUUUAGGCCUUUAGCGGCGCUUUUUAGCACCGCUAAAAGUAUUUGCGGCGCUUUGACAAGCGCCGGAAAAAACGCCGCUAAAGACCACGUCACUAUCUUUAGCGGCGUUUACGGAGAAAAACGCCGCUAAAGACCAAGACCCUUAGUGGCGCUUUUCCCACAAACGUCGCGAAGGACCAAGACCUUUAGCGGCGCUUCUCCCACAAACGCCGCUAAAGACUAUGACCUUUAGCGGCGCUUUCCCCACAAACGCCGCUAAAGAUCAAGACCUUUAGCGGCGCUUUUCCAACAAAUGCCGCUAAAAACCAUGACCUUUAAUGGCGUUUUUUAAAAAACGCCACUAAUUUUGGCAGAUUUGUAAAAGAAAUUUUUUUAUAUUUUUAGCCCUCCUGUAAAAACAAAUCAGAAGAAACCAAAUAGAAACCAACCAAAAGUAAUAAAUCUUUAUAAUAUAUACAAUUAAACGAAUAAUAUAUAAUAAAUAUCAAUAAUUAAAAUAAAAAUCGUAUUAUUCUUACAAAAAUGUUAAAUUUUAAAAUAAUAAUUAAAAGUCAAAAUUGAAACAUAUUUACACGAUAGUCUAAGAUGGCGGCUGUUGCGACUGCUGAAACAUCUUCAUCAUAUUCUGAAGCUGCAGCUGGAGUUCAUCGAACUUUCUACGCUGCUCUGCUUCUCUCGCUGCAGCAUCUGCUUUAAGCUGUAGCUGGAGUUCUUCAUACUUUCGUUGAACCUCAGCUUCUCUCGCUGCUGCCUCCGCUUUAAGUUGUGUAAUUUGCUCAACUGUUGUCGCUUGCAUCUGAGCCAUCUGGUCUCUUAACCUCUGAACUUCAGCUUGAGCCUGACUCCCCGAAGGCAUGUAUUGUUACGAGUUGGAUCCAAAAUAUUGGGUUGGGCUAACAAAAGAUCUUUGGAAUCGAACUCGACCGUACCUUUCAGGACCCAAAACAUCAGUGAUAAUUCGGUUAUCAAUGUCGAAAAUAUGAACAGAACUAUCACUGGAAGCCAUCGCUUCGUACUUCGCUUUUUUAUCCUUUAGUUUUUCCUAAUAAAUAAAUCACAUAGUUAGGAACGCGAUAUAUAUUAAAAAAAUAAAUGCAACAUAACUUAACAAUAUUUGCAUUACAAUAAAUGAAAUAAACCAUUAGAAAAUAAACACUAUAAAUAAUUAAAACAAGUCAAAUUGUAUUAAGCAAACGUACCAUAAUUUCUGUAGCUUCAGGAGCCAUAGGGUUUCCAUCGUUCUUCCUAUGUGUAAUGUCAAAAAGUUGAAGGCAUCCAACUUUUUGACCGGACGACAGUUCCUACAAUACAGUAGUAAAAAUAUUAUUUGAUAGAAAGUAUAUAUAUAUGACAAAAUUACAAAAUUAAUACUACCUCGGCCUGAGCUACACAAGCAAAACUUUUCGACCCAGUUGUGUGAGUGAAUUUCUGUUUCUGCCUACUACUUUUUCCAACUCGUUCAAGAUCCUACAUUAUGGAAUUAUUAGUACGUUAAUUAGUAACUACUAUAAACCAAAAUAAUUACAAGAUUUUUGUAGUAACACAUACCUCUCCUUUCUUCGAAGUCCAAAAUCUAACGACCUCUUCCCACUGAUACCUCAGCAUUCCCGGCGGGACAUUUUGUAAUUUCUUGUCCAGUGUUGUUUUUGUCUUAAAAUAGUCUUUCUUUAAAGUGCUCUUAUGGUCUCUCCAUCUUUUUCCCAAUGCCUUCUUUACAUAAGCAUCGGAGACCUCUAGAGCAAAUCUCGCCUACAAAAAACACAAGUUAAGAAAGUAAAUAUAAAUGAAACUUAAACCCAAGUAUUAUAAAUAACAUUAACUUUUUGUUACCUUAAUUUUAUCGAGAGUUUGGUUCUUGUUACUAUCGGGCAUUGCUCGCCAUGACUCGUAGUUAAUUGGCAACAUAUUUGCAUUCCAUGCAAGAAUGCCCAAGUAUCCUACUAAAAGGCGAGCUUCUGAUCCAACAGGCUGACCAAAGCUAUUACUGUAGACUUUGACACGCUCGACUAGAUCUAGCUCGUAUAAAUCCCUAAGUAGCGUACGUCCUCGAACUCUUCGCGUCCCACCACUUUCAGCUAAAAAAUAUUAUAUUUUAAUAUAAGAAUUUAAAAAAUAAACAAUAUGUCAACACACAUGUAAAUUAAAUGUUAAAUUACUUUGAACUUGUGUAGGUUCCUCAAGUGUAACCGGAACAUUCGAAGAUCCGAUAGUAGUCUAUUGUCCAGUGCUGUUUGCUUCCGCCGAGUUUGGAGUAGCUUAAACAAUGCCUAGCUCUCGCACUUUUCUUCUAGGCAUUUUAUCUGCAAUACAAAUAAAAUAGUUGAAAACUUAGUAUACAAUUACAACAAUAAUAGCACAUAUAAAAUAGUUGAAAUAUAUAAUAAGAGCAAUAUUUAUAUUAUUAUAUUACAUAUAAAAAAUAAUCGUAAAAGCUUACUACAUUAUAAGUCGUAAAUAUCUUCAUCCAUAUCUUGGCGAACCCAUUGAAAUUGUGUACUAGUACUAGGAAUGUUUUCGCUUAAGUUUUGUUUUGGAAAGGGCAAAGUUUGUGUUCUGUCAUCAAUGCCAUCUCUACUUCCACUGCCCAUGUCAAACAAGUCUCUAGGGAUGUUACGGAGUACAACGUGCCAACCCUCAUCAGUUGGAUCUUUUGAGUAAAAAAGUUGUUUGACUUGAGAAGAAAAUACAUACGGCUUAUCAAUCAAUUGUUGUCCUCCGUGAAUCAAUCGAGCGAAGUUCACCAUUGUGAAACCAAAUUGAUCUUGCUUGAUUCCACGAGCAGUAUUAACAUCGGCCCAAUCACCUCGAAAUAAGACAACUUUCCAUUUGCCGUAGUAAUCCAACUCAAUUAUGUCAGUAAAAAGUCUGAAAUAUUCCACAUUUCCCUCGACAGGAUUAUUGUUCCUAGCACUAGCAUAACUUGUAAUUGAGGAAUUAACAACUAUUCCACAAUUUUGCGUUCUCCUCAAUCUCUCGCGAUAUUUUGUAUGAAAUCUGAAUCCGUUGAUGAGGAACGCACUGUAUCUUUUAACCACCCGAUUUGGACCUUGGGAAAGCCAUUUAACUUCGUCGGUGACGUUCUUCCCGCUCCAAACCUAUUAAAUGGAAAGUAAACUGAGUAAUUAAAAAUGUUAUGAGAAAACAUUAUGAAUUGUCGAUGAAAGCUCCAAUUGCAUAUCGUUUGGCUUAACCAUUCAUGGAAAGAUUCUAUGAACAACUUAUUGAUAUCUCGAUGUUGUGUUCUUAGAGAGCGCGAACGAGAUCUCAAUAUUUGUUUGUACUCACUACGUUAAAAAUAUAUUCAGUUUGUUAGAAGAUAAACAAUAUUUGAUUGAUGAAUAUUUAUCAAAUUUCUAGAACUUACUUGCGUAAAGGUCCCAUUGAUUCGUGGUGAAACAGAACAUAUCGAUGUGCUUGUACCCAUGAUAAAUCAUCUAAUUCUGCAAUUUCAACUUUACCGAUUGCUUCUCCAAAACUUUGGAACAAAUAAGUAUCGGCGAAGUUAUGAUCCGUGAGUCCAGCAUUUCUAUUUGGUCUGUUCAACCUUGUUUCAACAUCUUCCAAAUAUCUUGAACAGAAGGUCAUACAUUCCUCUGCCAAGUAGCCUUCAGCAAUCAAUUCUUCUGGAUAACGCUUGUUGCGGCAGUAAGACUUUAAUUUGGAUAGGAACCUAAACACGAUAUACAACAUUAUCAAAUGUUGUAAGUAAAUGCAUAUAGCUGAAUGAAGGAAAAUUUUAAAAAUUUUAAUUAACACAUUUCUAUGGGAUACAUCCAUCGAUAGAAAACGGGUCCGCCUAGAAUUACUUCAUGUGGGAGAUGGAUUAUCAAGUAAACCAUGAUAGUGAAGAAGGAAGGUGGGAAGAUUUUUUCCAAGUUGCAUAAAGUCAAAGCGGCUCGAUCUUGUACCUUCUGAAAUUAUUGAACAUCCAAAACUUUGCCACAAAUGGCUUUCAUUAUAUUGGAUAGUUCAAUUAUACAAGACGUCACCUUUUUCGACAUACAACAUCGUAGAGCAAUUGGCAAUAAAUCUUGCAUUAAGAUGUGAUAGUCAUGUGAUUUUAGCGAAUAUAGUCUUCGAUCUUUAACACUAACACAUCGAGAUAUAUUUGAUGCAUACGCAUCUGGAACCUUUAUAUCCUUCAACACUAUGUAGAACACUUCUUUCUCUGUCUUCGACAUUGAGAAAAUAGAAGGCGGCAACCGAUAUUUCCUAUUUAGAAGUAGAUUCGGAUGAAGAUCAGGUCGAAUUCUCAUGUCGACUAAAUCAAGUUGACUCUGAAGAUUGUCUUUUGAUUUUCUGUCUACAUUCAAAAUUGUACCGACAAUGUUCUCGCAGACAUUUUUCUCAAUAUGCAUAACAUCAAGAUUGUGUCGUAAAAGGUGAUGCUCCCAAUAAGGCCUCAUUAGGAUCAUCCUUUUCAUCGGAGUCAUCAUCAGCUUCAUCAUUUGAUCUUCUAUUUCUUUGUGUGUUUGCCGGUCGGUUCAUCUUCCCAUAACUGAAAUUCAUAUCUUCCAACAUUAACAAGAUUUUAGAUCCACUUGUCUACGAAGAAGCUUCUCUAAACUCUUCAGUACCUUCAAAUGCUGAACUCUGAAAUCUAAAUCUAUGAUUUUUCGGUAACCACCGAUGAUGCCCCAUGUAGGAGAACUUCUUCCCAUUGUAUAACCAUUGCGAACAUGUUUGUGCAGCACAACAAGGACACGCAUAACGACCAUUGGUACUCCAACCGGAUAAAUUAGCAUAAGUGGGGAACUCAUUAAUGGUCCACAUCAAAGCUGCACGUAAAUUAAAGUUCUCCUUUCUCAGCACAUCGUAUGUCUCGACACCAGCCCAUAAUUGUUUUAACUCUUCAAUAAGUGGCUGUAAAUAAAUGUCGAUAUCAUUCCCGGGCCCUUUCUCUUCAGGGAUAAUCAUAGAUAAGAUAAGGGAAGAUUGCUUCAUGCAAAUCCACGGAGGCAGAUUGUAAGGAACAAGCACUACUGGCCAAGUACUUUACGCAGUACUCAUGAUCUUGUAAGGAUUAAAUCCAUCAGAUGCUACGCUAAGCCUCACACUCCUAGGAUCGCUUGCAAAGCUUGGAAAUUUAUAGUCAAAUGAUUUCCAAGCUAAAGAAUCUGUCGAAUGCCUUAACAAUCCAUCGUCUGUUCGUCCAUCAUGGUGCCACGUCAUUGAAUCCGCUGUCUUCGACGACAUGAAAAGCCUUUGAAGCCUUGGUAUCAGCGGAAAAUACCGUAAAAUCUUGACCGGCUUCUUUCUUAGUUGUGCAUCAUUUUCAUCAUUGUUCCCAUCUUCUGUGUUUCUAUUUAUCCAACGGGAUUGCCGCAUACAUGAUAGCACUGUUGGUUUCUCCGAUCACCCCAAUACAACAUGCAGUCAUUCGGGCAACUAUGGAUUUUGUUGUACCCAAGACCUAAGUCUUUUAUCAUUUUCUUCAUAUCUUUGCAUGACUGAGGGAUUUUUGCAAAUGGAAACAUUUCUCAAAAACUCUAACAGCAUUGUCAAUGAGUUCCCGGUCCACCCUCCCAAACAUUUUAACUGGAAAAGACGAACGCAGAAAGGCAUUUUUGAAAAUUUCGAUCCCUCAUAUAGUUCUUCGUUCAUCUCAUUAAGUAGCGCGUAGAACUUCGCCGCUUCUGCAUUCGGCUCUUCAUGAGGUACACCUGUUCCCGGUUCGGUAAAAGCAUUUGCACCAACAUUACAAUCAUCAGAUGCCAUAAAGUCAGCUGGGAACGACUGAAAACCAUGAUUGUGCAUAUUAAUGCAUCCUGCAACAUACCUUCCAUGUCAUCCCCUCCAACAGACUAAUAGUAAACAGUACCAAGAUAAGAUACAUCCAUCGUUGAAGAGGAGGUACUAGGCGGGCAUUCUCCAUGAAAAAGCCAUUUUUUAUAACCCCAAACAAACCCAUCAACAAUUAGAUGCUCGUAUACAACUUCAGGAUAAUGGCAGUUUAUGUUGACACACUUGUUACAGGGGCAAAGAAUCAUGUUCUCUUGGCUUGCAUGUUGAAAUGAAAAAUUUAGAAAACUCUGAACUCCAUUUCGAUAACUGUUGCUUACCCUUGACAAAUUCAUCCAAGAUCGGUCUAUUUUUUAAUUCUUGAAGUCUGAUUUCCACCAAAAAAUACAAUGGUACGUAAGUUGUUCACUUAUAUUUAAAAUUAAAUGAGUUAUGUAAGUUAUGAUAUGAUAUAUAUUUAUGUAUUAAGUAAAUUAUGUAAGUUAUGUAUUAUAUAAGUUAUUUAAGUUAUGUAUUAUGUAACCUAUGUAAGUUAUGUAAGUGUUGUAUUAUAUAAGACAAAUUAAGUUAUGUAGGCUAUGUAUUAUGCAAGUUAUUUAAGUUGUGUAAGUGUUGUAUUAUGUAAGGCAAAUUAAGUUAUGUAGUCUAUGUAUUAUGGAAGUUAUUUAAGUUGUGUAAGUGUUGUAUUAUGUAAGUAAGUUAUGUAUUAUGUAAGUUUUAUGUAAAAUAUGUAAGUUGUAUUUUAUGAAAGUUAUAUAAGUUAUGUAGGCUAUGUUUUAUGCAAGUUAUUUAAUUUCUGUAAGUGUUGUAUUAUAUAAGUUAUGUAUUAUGUAAGAUAUGUAAGUUGUAUUUUAUGUAAGUUAUGUAUUAUGUAUGUUAUGUAAGUAAUGAGUUAUGUAAGCUAUGUAAGUUAUGUAAGUUAUUUAAGUGGUGUAUUAAGUUAUGGAAGUUAUUAUGUAAGUUAUGCAAGCUUAUAUAUAAGUUAUGUAUUAUGUUAUUAUGUAUUAUGUAAUUUAUUAUGUUAUUAUAUAUAAGUUAUGGAAGUUAUUAUGUAAGUUAUGCAAGCUUAUAUAUAAGUUAUGUAUUAUGUUAUUAUGUAUUAUGUAAGCAAAUGAUUGUCAAAGAGUUAUGUAUGAUGUAAAAUUAUUUAUAAGUUAUCAUAUGAUUGUUAAAUUUGAGUUAUUUUGGUUAUGUAUAUUAAAACAAUAUAUAUUUUAUAUAAAUAAAAUAUUUAAAUUUUAAAAAUAUAUAAUUAUUUAGAAAACUUAUAAAAUUGAUACUUAUAAAUUUUAUUAAUAAUAAAUUUAGAACACUUUUUUAGAAAACUUAUAAAUUUAAUACUAAUAAAUUUUAAUACUAAUAAAUUUAGAAAAAUUAUUUAGAAAACUUAUAUAGAAAAUAAAAAAAUAUUUAUAAUUAUUUAGAGAACUUAUAAAUUUUAUAGUAAUAAGUUUUAAAUAUAGGUUAUAUACCCAUACCAUAUAUGGGGUGAUAUAUUAAAAAUAUUGGUUUUAAUAUAUAUUAAAUUAUCAUUUACAAUUUUUUUAAAAUUUAAAAUGUUAUUAUUAUGUCAAAAUUGAAAUAUAGUAUCACCAAACAAUAACAACGCAAAAUCAAAGUAAAAAAUACGACAAAACCCAAUGUAUAAAUACGCAGAAUUGGACAUUCGAACCUUAAAUGAUGUUCCUCCACGUUCUCCCUCUUCUUUGCCGCAAAUAAUGUUAAAUGUUUUCAACAAAUACAAUGUAUGAACCCUUUUUAAUGGUUUUUUUGCUAGGAAGCGAAACACCCAAACAGAAAUUUGAAAUAGAUGAAGAAAACGGAUGAGGAGAAAUUGGAGAUGCUGCAGAAACACUUAGGGAUUUGAUUGAAAAGGGGGAUUUGGGGCUGGCUACGGGGAUAUACCCCAAAACUGAUAUCCCAUCAAAACGACACCUUUUAAAUUUAAUUUUUUUUGUGGAUCUUAAAGGAAAACGCCACUAAUCUUACAGAUUUUGCGGCGCGUUGAGAAAAAAACGCCAUUAAACCCUAAACGCAUCAAUCAAAAGGCCACAUUUCAUUCAAUUUUAAAUUAGCAUUUGCGGCGUUUUGGUUACACGCCACUAAAUAUUCACCUUAUUUAUAAGUAUUUUGAUUUUUAAUUGAUUUUUAAAUUCGAUAAAUGUUUGGACAUUCUUUUAAAUUGAAACAUUAAUAUGAAAUUAUUAAUUUUUUUUCAAUAAUAUUAUUUUAAAAUAUGGCACAGAUUUAAUACAUUUUUUUCAAUUAUACAUAUUUAAUAAAUAUUCAAAUUUAUAAAUACUAUCAAUUUAAAUACUAUCAAUAUUAAAAUUUAUAAAUAAGUUUACGGCGUUUUAUCAGAAAACGCCACUAAAGGAAUACAGUGAAAGGAAAACGAAGCGGUUUUGCUAUAUUAUUUGCGGCGUUUUCUGUGUAAGCGCUGCUAAAUCCUACCUGUUGCGGCGUUUUAAGUUAAAACGCCACUAAUUAUUCAGUUUUUAUAAUAUUUUAUGUCUUUUGUCGAAACCAUUUUUUAGAUUUGAAAAAACAGGGGGAUCGACUUUGAAAAAUGAAAAAUAGGGAGUCGCCACCGAUCUUUUAUUGAGGUGUGAUCGGAUCACCUUGGAAAUAAUUUUAGGUCUGCAAAUUUUGAGAAAACAAGUUCGGGAGUCGAUUACGCACGAGGAAGGGUUAGCACCCUCGUGACGCCCAAAAUUGGUACCGAAUUGAAUGUUUUAUGUCUUAAUGUCGAAAUUUUGAAAAGAUUUUAAAAUAUGAUUCUUUUAUUUUGAAUAAAAUGAAUUGGAAGAUAAAACUCAUUUAUUUUAAAGAAAUAAUUUGUUACACUCAGUAAGUUAGAGUGCAGCAUCUCAAAUCCUCAAAAUUAAGCUUAUUCUUUGAUUUUUAAAACCUAUACAUUUUGAGAAGGAUAUCCGAUUAUUUGGGUCAAAUGAGAAAAUCAAAACCCAGUAAGUUAGGGUUCAAUUUCACAAAAUUCCUGAAUAUCGAACAUUGCCUUUAUUUUUAAAAUCCUCGUCUCGAGAAAAUAACAUGUCAUAUCCAAUGCGUUAGGACACAACGUGUUGAAUUCCCGAGAAUGAGUUUUUAUUUGAAAUUUGUGAAUUCAUUGCAAAAUGAAUACUUGGCUUUCUAAAUUCAUCGAAAGAUAAUCGCAAUCCAGUAAGCUAGGACACGAUCUUCCUCGAGAAUCAUGAAUGCCAAAUAUUUCAAAAAUUUAUAAAAUACGAUGAUUUUAAUGUUUUGGCGAAACCAAAAUAUAUACUUUCUAGAAGAUAUGCUAGAAAAGUUAAUGUAUAAUAUGAAACAAAUACUUUAAUUUAAAUUGUAUAUGUAUAUGUAUUUACAAAAUAUAAGCACAAGAUACAAGUAAAUUUGUAAAUAUGUGUAUGCAUAUAUUUAACACACAUCUACAAGUAUACAUGUAAAAAAGGAAGGAAUGGAAUAUAUCAACAAAAAUAAAAUAAAAAAUGCAUGUAUAUAGGUACAUGAAAAUCGUAAAAUAAAAUAAACAUAUAAAAAUUUAUAUGUGUAUAUAUUGACAAAAAUAAAAAAAAAUAUAAGUACAUAUGUAUUGGCAAAUCAUGAAAACACGUAUAUGUAUUAAAACUUAUAUAUGUGUACAAUGUGUAUAUAAAUAACGGAGUAUAUAUAUAGAAUAAUAAAAUGUUUAUGAUAAUUCAAAAAUAUAUAUAAUAAUAAAAUGUGUAUUUUGAAUUGUAAAAUAUGGGAACACGUGCGUAUUCUAAAAUGUGUAUGUAUACAUAUAUAUAUAUGUUUGUAAAAAAUUUUAUGAAGAAAAGAAGAAAGUAACGUACGUAUACAUAUGUAAAAAAGUAAAAAAGAUUUUUGAAACUAAAAUAUAAAAGUAUAUACAUAUUGAAGUUAGGGAACAAAAAUAAAGAAAAAAAACAUACGUAAAAAUAUGUAUAUAGGUAGGCGGAUACAAGACAAAAAAAACUUGCAUAUAUAUAUUUAUUAUAUAAAAAUAGUGCAUGUGAAUGAAUAUAUAGGAAUAAUAAUAAUAAUAAUAAUAAUAAUAAUAAUAAUAAUAUUUAAAAACACUAAAAAAACAAAAUACAAAAAGAAAAAAAACAAUAAAUGAAAUUAACCAAACAGAGGACUAAUUUGCAACGCACGAAUUAUAUGGGGGCCGAGUGGGAAAUAUCCCGCUUCCCAAAACGCUGCGUAGCAACAUGGGUCAAAAUGAAGCAAGAGCAAAAUGAAGUGUGAAAUUUGUAAAUAAAUAAAACUAACAUAAAAACACCACGAAGAAAGGGGGACCUUAUACGCAAAUAGACCAAACGAUCAAAAUACGCGGAUCCUUCCCUCGGGUCGGGUCACCACACGGGUAGUACGCCUUUAAACGAUGCCAUUUCUUUCGUGGUUAAAAAAAACUAAACCCUAAUCAGUUAAACAUUUUCUAAUCUAACAAAACAAAAGAAAAAAAACUAACAGAAAAGAGAGAAAAACUGUCUCUUUGCGCCGCUCGAAUAACAGGCUGCUCGAGAGCCCCCUCGCCUUCGCCCAUUCAACUCUGAUUAGCCUGGAGGAGAAGAAGGCUUCAUCGGCGCUGUUAACAGGUAAUUUCCAACUCCCCUUUUUAGAUCUAUCCUUAUAUAUGUAUAGUUGAUAAAAAGGAAAAGGAAAGAAAAAUGAUUCGGAAAAAGAACAAAAUGAAAAAGAGAAGGAAAAAAAACCUUCUUUUCAAUUUUUUUGUAUUGAUUUCAUGUUCAUGUGAUACAAUAUGCCCCCCACCAUUUACAAAUACUCAAAACUGGCUUUAUAGCUGAAAUUGAAAUAUCCAAAAACUACAACCGAAAACCUCCCUUCCCUUUCUUUUUUUCUUUUUUCUUUAUUCUCUCUCCAUUUCUGCUUUUUUCUCUGCUUUGUUGUGUUCGUUUGUUGCAGGUGUACGGGCGUACGAGGGCCAGCUGGGACGUGGCGCGGCUCGUGUGAGGCAUCGUGCGUGGUGGGCACGCGAGGAGGCGUGCGGCGCUGGGGCUGGGUAGAGGCAGGAGCGGCGCCCUAGGGUUUGUUGAAGUGUUUAUGUUGCGGGCCUGUUGGGCUAGGGUUUAUGCAAGAUGGGGCUUGGGACAAUUGGGCCAUUUGGGUUUAAUGUUCUGGGCCAAUAUAAAUGGACUAUUUUUGGACUGUUAUUAAUUUUUGUGUUUGGUUUAUAUUUUUUAUUUUGAUUUGAUUAUGGGCUGGGCAAAUUAGGCCUAUUACAUUAUUCAGUUAAAACGCCACUAAUUAUUCAGUUUUUAUAAUAUUUUAUAUGUCUUUAUUUAUAAGUAUUUUUUAUUUUUAAUAGAUUUUAAAAUUGGAUAAAUGUUAUGUCAUUAUUUUAAAUUGAUGCAUUAAUAUGAAAUUAUUAAUUUCAUUUCAAUUAAAAUAGUUUAAAAUUAUGACACAGACUUAACAUAUUCUUUUUUAUUGUACAAAUCUUAAAAAAAAAAUUCCAUUUUAUAUAUGUAAGUAUGUAUUAUUAAAAUACUAUCAACAUUCCAAUUUAUAAAUUAUUGACACUAUUCCAAUAAUGUCUUACAAUUUUAAUUUUAUGCUCUAAGUUAUGCAAAUCUUGAUAACGCUCGUACACAAUAUUAAAUUGUUUCAUCAUACAUAACAUAUAUAUAUAUGAUAUCGUGUCAUGCAUAUAUAUAUAUAUAUAUGUUUUUAUACCCCUGUCGGUUCUAAACCUAAUAAUGACAUAAUAAGAAGUAAAAAACAUGAAGUAUUUGAAUUUUUUUUGACUUUUGUAUCAAAAUAGUAAUUAAACCCUAAAAUUGCCACAACAUUAAACCCUAAACUGUAACUCAUAUAAACCCUAAAUCCAAAACACAAAAAUCAACAUCGUAACCCUUAAAUCAUUAACGCUAAACCGUAAACCAUAAACAUCAAGCCCUAAAACAGUAAAUUUCAUUAUCUUAUAAGCCGUAAAUUCCCUAACCUGAUAUUAACACUGAAAUGUAAACUCUAAACCUUGAACCCCAAUCCCCGAGCCCUAUACCUAAACUCUAAACCCAUGUCAUCAAAAUUGUAAUCCUAAAAUAAUAAACAUUGUGUAACGAACCCUAAAACCCCAAACCGUAAAACAUUAACGCUAAACCGUAAAACAUAAACAUCAAUCCCUAACACAGUAAAUUUCAUUGUCUUAUAAGCCAUAAACACUAACUCGAUAAUAACACUGAAAUGUUAACUCUAAACUUUAAACCCCAAUCUCCAACCCCUAAACCUAAACUCUAAGCCCAGAACACAAAAAUGUAAUCCUAAAAUAAUAAAUAUUGUGCCACAAACCCUAAAUCCCCAAACCGUAUAUGAUAAAACUUAAAUAUUAAACCGUAAAACCUAAAAUUUUCUUUCUAUUUUUGCGGCGUUUUUUUCCAAAAACGCCACUAAUACCAAUACAGACAAUCAAAAGCGGCGUCAUUUUAACUAACAUUCCACCAAAGAAGAAAAGCAUCUUGCCGAAAUAUUUGCGGCGUUUUAGGUCAAGCACCGCUAAUUCCAGACAUGUUGCGGCGUUUAUUUAAAAGCGCCACUAAAGCAAUAUACUGAAAUAAAAUGAAGCCGUUUUGCUUAGUUUUGUUCCGGCGUUUAUAAAAGAAACGCCGCAAAUUAGUUACUUAUAGCGGCGUUUGUUAACAACCGUCGCGAAAUCCCUAUCUUUUGUGGCGUUUUUUAGUAAGCGCCACUAAAGCAAUAAUAGGAAAAAAUAAAACGGUACAGUUUUGUUGAAAUUUUUUCCUCAAAUUACUUACCUUUACCGGCGUUUCUCUCAAAACGCUGCUAUAUCCCAAUAUUUUGCGGCGUUUUUUUAAUAAGCGCCACUAAAGUAAUAAAAUAACCAAAAAACGAAGCCGUUUUGCAAAAAAAUUGUGUCGUUUCAAAGAAAUCGCCGCUAAUGCAGGUCUAUUGUGGCGUUUUUUGUUUAGCGCCGCUAAAACUCUAUCUUUUGCGGCGUUUUUUGGUUAAACGCCGCUAUAAACGCCGCUAAAAGCCUGUUUUGGUGUAGUGUUUCAUGGAAGCAAGCAUGACAGUAAUCUUUUUUUAACAUAAAUUAAAAUUCAAAAAUGGAGGUUCUAUUUGGAAAAUAUUACCGGACGAAGAAAAUGGCAAUGCUAAAAGAAACUAAAGUGAGAGUCAAUUCAACUUCAGCAAGCAAAGUCAUGACUCCAGGUUACCGACCCCAUUUUCAAAAUUCAAUUAUUUGUCAUUACUUUACUAAUGGAUAACUCCAACUUAAUUGAACGUAAUUAUGUGUUUAAUUUGAAUCAAACCAUAGGUUUUAAAUAAAAUUUAUAAUGCUCAUGUUACAUAUCAAUAUUAUUAAAUUAUUUAAAUAUUUUUAGAAUUAUAUUUAAUUUUAAUUUUAAAAUAUAUUUAAUCAAAACUAUGAGUUGUAUCACUUGUAUAUGCAUAACCACAUAUUUAUAACACAAAUGUGUAUAAAGUUUUGAUUCAAUGGUAAAGUUAAUAUUUUAUUGAUGUAAAUAAUAUGGGUUCAAAUUCAACCAUAUUUAUUGGGUUUUUCAAACAAAUAAAAAAACUAAAAUACUUUCAAAUAAUAUAAUAUUUUUAAUUGUGAAAAGAUAUUUUUAUAAUUUUUCUAAUUAAAUUUGUGUUUGGUUGACUCAUGACACUAAAUCAACUAAAGACUUAAAUAAUAGUAUAAUAUUAAUGUAUUUAAAAUUUGAAGGAUUAAUAAACAUAAAUGGAGAAGCCCAAGCCAAGAAUUUGGAUUUGAAGAUGUUAACUGGUUUUAUGAACGCUUCCAGUGACGACCGCCAUUUCAAUUUUUUCUUUAAUUUCAAGCUUUAAGAACAAGAAACAAAAAUCGUAAAUUUGGGAGAUCAGAAAAUAAGGUAUAAAUUGAUUACUUUGAUCGUGUUUAUGAUUCAUCACAAUUCUUAGUUAAGCUCGGGUGACGAAGCUCACAAAAUUUAAUCAGUUUAAAGCACUAUGUUUUUUUUUUUAAACCAAAAUCCAAAAAUCUGAAGGUGCCGAAUGUACAAAUGGAUAAUUUUGAUGUAAAACAAAGAUCCCAAACUAGUCGAUAUAUCACAAAAAGACAAACCAGAGUGAUGAGGUUUGCAUGGCCUCCAAGCCAGGAACAAAAUAUACGUAACGAGCUAGCUACACACAAAAUUUAAAAGGAUAAAUCAGCAUCAGCUGUUAUUUCUAUAAUAAAUCUAGUCCUACCAUACAUGGUGCUGAUGAUGAUCUUAUAUUUUAGACCGAUGGGUGCCUUGGGUGGUCUGUGAGGUUGCUCCUCAAUUAGUAUGGGGAGGGUUUCCCUUACUGGCUGGUUUACUAUGUCGGGCUUGUGGAGGUUUACGUGCAUCCUCAACUUCCACGUUCAAGAGGUGUCUGUGAGGCGGUUUUU